CCCGCAACGAGCGCAACCCCUGCCUUUAGUUGCUAACAGGUCAAGCUGAGCACUCUAAAGGGACUGCCGGUGGAAAACCGGAGGAAGGUGGGGACGACGUCAAGUCCUCAUGGCCUUUAUGUCCAGGGCUACACACGUACUACAAUGGCCGGUACAAAGAGUCGCAAACCUGCGAAGGGGAGCCAAUCUCAAAAAGCCGGUCUCAGUUCGGAUUGGUGAGAGGCAGCUCGACUCCAUGAAGCUGGAAUCGCUAGUAAUCAC
RNAcentral lists this ribosomal RNA (261 nucleotides) under uncultured Acidobacteriota bacterium. Its description in RNAcentral is "uncultured Acidobacteria bacterium partial 16S ribosomal RNA". It matches the Rfam family "Bacterial small subunit ribosomal RNA", at positions 1086 to 1345 of the family's 1533-position model. Lineage: Bacteria; Pseudomonadati; Acidobacteriota. The record is from RNAcentral.